UGGCGGACGGGUGAGUAACGCGUCGGAAAACCUGCCGUAUACUGGGGGAUAACACUUAGAAAUAGGUGCUAAUACCGCAUAAGCGCACAGCUUCGCAUGAAGCGGUGUGAAAAACUCUGGUGGUAUACGAUGGUUCCGCGUCUGAUUAGCUAGUUGGUGGGGUAAUGGCCUACCAAGGCAACGAUCAGUAGCCGGCCUGAGAGGGUGAACGGCCACAUUGGGACUGAGACACGGCCCAAACUCCUACGGGAGGCAGCAG
This 259-nucleotide ribosomal RNA is filed under the name uncultured bacterium. Its description in RNAcentral is "partial 16S ribosomal RNA". It matches the Rfam family "Bacterial small subunit ribosomal RNA", at positions 96 to 354 of the family's 1533-position model. The record is from RNAcentral.